Solanum dulcamara is the source of this 624-nucleotide long non-coding RNA. RefSeq lists it as uncharacterized. The transcript is spliced from 2 exons. The record is from RefSeq and is a predicted model, not a curated record. Lineage: Eukaryota; Viridiplantae; Streptophyta; Magnoliopsida; Solanales; Solanaceae.
GUGCUGUUGACUGUUGUGUGUAGUGUUGCAGCUUGUGUCUAGAAUUUGAUAAUAAUUUGACCAUAAUUAACAGACAACUUGGUUGGAACCCAAAGACAUCCCUAUGGGACUUGCUUGAAUCCACACUCACAUACCAACAUAGGACAUAUGCUGAGGCUGUCAAGCAGGCAAUGUCAAAGACAACUGCAAAUUGAAUGAAGUCAGGAACAGAGCUUUACUGUAUGCUUCAUGUUGGCAGGCUUUCAUAUUCUUUUGAAGAAUCUUCAUCUACUCGGUUUGACUUCAUCCACGUUAUUCUUUUUGUCAUCCACUUCAUGCAAAGGUCAUGGCCAUAAACAUCAUGUUUUCGUGUCAUAUGUAGUGUAAUGCCAUUAAAGCCUUAGCUACAACAGUUUUCGACACAUUAGUCAAAGGAAGCCUGCAAUCUGCUCAUAGAAGUUUUGUUGUCAUUAUAUUAUCAUUCUUCGGUAUGGAAGUAUGUUGUAUCAUUCCACUGAGAUUUUCCUAAUCUAUUACUUUAUUUGUUUGAUUAAACUGUCCUUUUACUUUAUUGUCUAUGUUAGAUAAUGUUAAUCUCCCAAGUACUUGUUUUUACAAUAUAUAUGACUUCUCCAAUUUUCUGUA